This 316-nucleotide ribosomal RNA is filed under the name uncultured soil bacterium. RNAcentral describes it as "bacterial SSU rRNA". It matches the Rfam family "Bacterial small subunit ribosomal RNA", at positions 26 to 345 of the family's 1533-position model. The record is from RNAcentral.
AGAUUGAGCGCUGGCGGCAUGCUUUACACAUGCAAGUCGAACGGUAACAGGCCGCAAGGUGCUGACGAGUGGCGAACGGGUGAGUAAUGUAUCGGAACGUGCCCAGUCGUGGGGGAUAACGCAGCGAAAGCUGCGCUAAUACCGCAUACGAUCUAUGGAUGAAAGCGGGGGACCGUAAGGCCUCGCGCGAUUGGAGCGGCCGAUAUCAGAUUAGGUAGUUGGUGGGGUAAAGGCUCACCAAGCCAACGAUCUGUAGCUGGUCUGAGAGGACGACCAGCCACACUGGGACUGAGACACGGCCCAGACUCCGUACGGG